Long non-coding RNA from Dermochelys coriacea (leatherback sea turtle), 1526 nucleotides. RefSeq lists it as uncharacterized. Lineage: Eukaryota; Metazoa; Chordata; Testudines; Dermochelyidae. The transcript is spliced from 3 exons. The record is from RefSeq and is a predicted model, not a curated record.
GAGAGCAAAUUGAAGGACAAUCUCUUCCCCAUUGGAACAAGGUGUAUGAUGCUGAGAGAUGAAUUUGGGGCCAAUCUUCUGACAGUAUGGAUAAUACAUUUGCAUCAGAAUGGAAUUCCUUUAAGCACCUGAAGGAAAGAAUUGCUUUGGAGCACAGAAAGAGAAAUCUGAGAAUAGAAGCUUGAAGAAAUUCCCUAUUAUAAAACCCUAUGGCUGGUCAUCUAGAGUUGCAGAUGACAAAGUUUUGAAGAUACAGUUUCAGAAAAGACAUCUGGCUCCUUGACAGACUUCAGAGACACCAUUCAUCACAAUUCUGGAGUUGACUUUGGCUAUGUCACAUGCUCCGGAUGUUGUUCAUUCGGACAGUUUUAACCACUUCCCUUAAUCAUAUUCUUUCUGAAUCAUGUUACAUUAUUGGGAAUGUGCAUCUUCACACUGCAUGCAUUUGACAAUACAUUUAAUACAAAUUCCUAAUGAGAUAUCUGACCUUUGAUAUUUUUAAAUGAAGGUACAUAUUUGAAUAUUUGUAUUUAUUUGCAUGCGUGCAUUCUCCCCUGGAGCCAAAAUAACACUAGAUCUGAAAUACUCAUGGUUCUUCUGGUCCUAGAUAGAUAGUGGCUAUACCACAAAACCAUCAGAUCCUGAUAUUUCAGAAACAUCAACAGCUCCCUGAGAAAAAGUCUGAUAAAAAAAAAUCAGUUACCAAGAUAUUCAGGUUUAUCUGAAUACUGAUAUAGUUUGGUUCAUUCAGAUUCCUGUGCAAAUCAAAUGGACAGCCCACUUACAUAACUUUCAAUGACUUCAUAACUUAUGCUACUCUAAAAGGCAAAACUCCUGUCCAUAAUAAUUUUAGCACAAUGGACCACUACAACCCAUUUCUCAUUUCACAAAAGAGUAAAGGACCUUUUCUGAUACCUGGAUUUCAAAAUUUAAUGCCUUGUCAAAAUGAAAUUGUCACAGGAAAAUUGUUUAUAUGAACACCAAUAUGUAAUAUGAUGUCUUUGUCAACUGUUUUAUGGAAUCUGUCAAGUAAGACCUACCUACUGGACCUGUGGGUAUUGUCAUCAGGCAAAUACGUAUCUGCCUAACUAGAAGCAGACAGCACUUUUCUUUACUAUUUCUGCCCCAUUCUGGGGAUAGUAAAUAUCCAGUGUUCACAUAUUUUUGACUUGAGUUAAUUUCUGAGUAACCUCUGAAAGAUUCAGAAAGAAGUUCUAGGCACAAUGACAGUUUGGUCUAUUUUUCUUUUUUAAACAUCCCAAUCAAGUCCAGUGCUUCAUGAUGCAAGCUGAUUACUAUAUGGUACAAGAAAAAAUGAUUAAUUACCUUCUGUGGGGUGGUUUGUUUUUCUCCAAACUUGUUUAGUACUGGUGCUUAGAUGCUUCAGCAAUGGGCACAAUUAUAAAAAAAGCUGGAUAGAACAAAUGGUAUCAUAACUUUCCCGGAACUUAGAAAAAAGUACUAUGAAAUGUAAUUCAAAAGGAUAACCUUUCCAUAUAAUAUUUAAAUAGCUUAUAGAAUUCUAU